CCUGACGGACAACCAAAUAGCCAAGUGAGCCACCUCCAUGGAAGUAAAACCUUCUGACUGCUCAGGGCACCAUAUGGAAGGUGGGGCAGGUAAGCUUGUAAGAGCUUGUCACCAGGGGUGGCAUGAUGGAGAAGAUCAUCAAAAAGAUAUGGCCAACAGCUGGUUGAUUCUGUAGUAGGAGCCAGGAAAUAAUCGGAGGCUCCUUACCCCUUCCUGUGUCCUUAAGAUGUAUGCUCUGCACUAGAAACUACUUCAGGAGGCAGCCUUGAGAGUACUGUGUUACUGAGAGCUUCUGGACCAUAGAGGAGACAACACUCUUAAGGCCUCCAUGUAAUCUCUUAAGAUUCUGUUGGGCACGUGUAGUGACCUACUCCUCUUGCGGCCACCCAAAACAAGCCUCAUAUGUAAGUUCCCUCGUUUAUUAAAACUGUCUACAAAUCUGGAGUGUCACCGCCUCCCGCCCCCUCCCGCCUCUUUCUCUUGCAUCUCCUUGCCUUUCACAUACAUGGAUCAGUUGUGAAUUUCACCUGGAAAAUCUCAGAGUUGCUAACCCCACCAGGUCAAAGCUGUACAGGGCUCCCUUUCCUUCAGCACCCCGAGGAUUCUGUAAACAUAGUAUAAAAAGAAGCACCUUGAAUAGAGGAUUGUAAACAGCAUUGCAGCAAUGGCCCCUAAGAUCAUGGCCUUCAUAUUGGAAAGCUUCUACAUCUUUAGUCCUGCUUCAAUAAUGUUUGUCAGCCUAACAGUCUCCAAGAAAACCUCUGCCUCCAAGGAAUGUUUUGUUUGUUGAUUUGUAACAUUUGGGGCUGCUCCAGGUGUGAAUUGAGAACCCACUCAGUCGGUAUCAGGAGCAACAAUUGAAAAUAUUCCCCAGCAAUUGCCAAUAUAGUAAUUCCGUUGCAAACGUGGGGUGAGGAGCGUAAUUGCUCAGAGCAUGCGCGGCUGAUAUUCCACGGAGGAGCCCAGAGCUAUGAGGAGGGAAGGUGGUAUGGGCCAGGCUACCCUCCCUGGCUUCUGCUGUCUGGUUAGAGUCCAGCCGGAGCCAUUUCUAACUGCUUUCGGAUCAUAGUCUUCUCUGGAGAAUCUGAAUUGCCUCAGAUAACAAUUCUCCAAGUUUCCACUUGGUAUUCUCCAAACCGUCUGUUCACCAGGAUUUAGAGAAUUUCCUAGCCAGUGCUGAGAAUGAGUUCCAUGUGCCACUGCCAUUGGUGACCAGAGUUCCGAAGCUUGCUUCUAAUGUCUAUGAAGAGAGUCUUACGUGAGAUUUGAUGACAAAGGAAAGAAAAUGGAGUCUGCAGUUCCUGGCGCUGUUUGGUGCUAUGUGACAGUGAGAAGGAGAUCCAAGAGAGCACAACAAAAUAUGAAACUCAAGUAAUACUUGAGAAUUGGCUGCAAGUUUGAAUGCUUUCUUCAAUCAAUGUAUGGCUUCGUCAGCAGAGUUUGAAGUAUCUGAUCACAGGUCUGCUGAAAUAUUUGCUGACCAUUAAACUAUGCAAACAAAGGUCUGAUCCUUCAUGAACCAGGCUAAAAAAUAUAAAUUAAAAUUAUAAAAUCUGAUGAGAGACAUCAGCUUGGAGGAAACAAUGUAGGGGAAACAAAUACCACAAUAUGAGUCUAACCAAACUAGCAGAACACAUAAACAAACAGAAACCUCAGUGAUAACAUAAAUCACAUUCCAAAGCUGCUAGAAACUACUUUCUAAAAUAUUUUAUUUUCAACCAAAACUAAUAGACACGCAAGAAAGACAAAGGAGAUUUUUACCCACACUAUAGAAAAUAAAACACUCAAUAAAAGCUGACUUUUAGGACAUCUAGAUGUUAGAUUUAGUAGGG
This is a long non-coding RNA of Bubalus bubalis (water buffalo), 1832 nucleotides long. RefSeq lists it as uncharacterized. NCBI's taxonomy places the organism in Eukaryota, Metazoa, Chordata, Mammalia, Artiodactyla, Bovidae. The transcript is spliced from 4 exons. The record is from RefSeq and is a predicted model, not a curated record.